GUCUACAGCCAUGCUACCCUGAACACGCUCGAUCUCCCGAUCUCUCGAUCCCGGCUGAUCUCGGAAGCUAAGCAGGGUCGGGCCUGGUUAGUACUUGGAUGGGAGACCACCUAGGAAGCCCAGGUGCUCUAGGCG
Molecule: ribosomal RNA, 135 nt
Organism: Pteropus vampyrus (large flying fox)
Lineage: Eukaryota; Metazoa; Chordata; Mammalia; Chiroptera; Pteropodidae
Source: Ensembl